This 327-nucleotide ribosomal RNA is filed under the name uncultured eukaryote. RNAcentral's name for it is "partial 18S ribosomal RNA". It matches the Rfam family "Eukaryotic small subunit ribosomal RNA", at positions 1470 to 1796 of the family's 1831-position model. The record is from RNAcentral.
CCCUUAGAUGUUCUGGGCCGCACGCGCGCUACACUGAUGAACGCAACGAGCUCUACCCUUGACCGAAAGGCCCGGGUAAACUUGUGAAACUUCAUCGUGAUGGGGAUAGAUUAUUGCAAUUAUUAAUCUUCAACGAGGAAUUCCUAGUAAGCGCGAGUCAUCAGCUCGCGUUGAUUACGUCCCUGCCCUUUGUACACACCGCCCGUCGCUCCUACCGAUUGAAUGGUCCGGUGAAAUCUUCGGAUUGCUGACCAAGAUCCAGCAAUGGAGCUUGGUUGCGAGAAGUUGAUUAAACCUUAUUAUUUAGAGGAAGGAGAAGUCGUAACA